Bos taurus (domestic cattle) is the source of this 1542-nucleotide long non-coding RNA. The record is from Ensembl. Lineage: Eukaryota; Metazoa; Chordata; Mammalia; Artiodactyla; Bovidae.
AUAAGGGUGGUGUCGUCUGCAUAUCUGAGGUUAUUGAUAUUUCUCCCGGCAAUCUUGAUUCCAACUUGUGCUUCUUCCAGCCCAGCGUUUCUCAUGAUGUACUCUGCAUAUAAGUUAAAUAAGCAGAGUGACAGUAUACAGCCUUGACGUACUCCUUUUCCUCUUUGGAACCAGUCUGUUGUUCCAUGUCCAGUUCUAACUGUUGCUUCCUGACCUGCAUAUAGGUUUCUCAAGAGGCAGGUCAGGUGGUUUGGUAUUCCCAUCUCUUUCAGAAUUUUCCACAGUUUAUUGUGGUCCACACAGUCAAAGGCUUUGGCAUAGUCAAUCAAGCAGAAAUAGAUGUUUUUCUGGAAGUCUCUUGCCUUUAAUUAGGCUCAAGUCAGUGUUCCACUGGCCUAUUUUGCAUGAUUUCAGGGAUCAUUAUUCCAAGUCCUCAAGGUGCUGGAAUCACCCUGACACCAAAACCCUGGGGUCUACUUCCAGCCCCUCAAUCUCUCCAGGAACAAGGCUCAAUCUCCUUAUUCAGGUAUUAAGGAGGCAGGACCUCAUGGGACAUCUGAAGAACCUGGCAGUGGAGGGGAUAGAGGCAGGUAAAUGAAAGUUUGAGACAGGACUGAGCUCUGAAGCAUGAAUGGAGGAGUCUGGCCAUGCUCUGAGCCUGAGGCUCCUGCCUCACCCUGGUUCUUCUAGCAAGUAGCUGCAGCUCCUCUAGAAUGUGCUAAGUGAAGGAAGCAGAUAUUUGGUUUCACUUUUUGAAGUAAUAACAACUUAGAGAAACUGGCAGCGAUAAGAUCCCUCCGGGGCUUCUGCUUCAAUGAUGCAACUGGGGCUGAGACAGAGCAGCUGUGAUGCAAAUAGCUUGGGCCAGCCCACAAGGAAUCUCUGGGAAGAAAAUUGAUCCUCUGGAUCUGUGCCAUCACCUUUAUUUCACGUGCCUGAUUUGUGACCCACCUGGAAAGCAGGGAUGCUGCAGCUCACAAGAGGCUCAUAGUUACAGAAAGUAGACAGCCCAGACUAAACAAAUGCCAGCCCUUAAACUGCUUGUGCAGGAACUGAAGAACAGACUUCCUCAGGGGUUUACUCUGUCCUUCUGUGUCAAAACAGAACUGCUGACUUCGGUGAAAAGGACACGCACUUUGCAAGAUCAUUUCCAGUAGUGAUGACAGUUACGAUGGACCAUGGGGCCUCAUACUUUCCUUUCCUUAACUUAUAAAUCACAUCCUGCCUUCUCUUCCCUCUUGGAAAAAAAAUCUUUGGUCACCUACUAAUUACAAAAGCUAAUAAAAUGACCCAUCCAUGUUCACCUCCAAUGAUCACAGUAGAAACAAGAUAAGACAGGUAGAAAGACAUGUUUGGUUGGUAAAAAUGCCAAAAGGAAAGUCAAUAUUAUUUCCGUGAAUUGCACAUUCAGGGAGCUAAAAGAAAGCGGUCAAAGAAAAUAGCCAAAUAGCCAAAGAAAGAAGGAAGGAAGGUAUAUGUUCAGGCCACUCAAGAUGGUUGCUCUCUUGCUCUCUGUACAUCCCCCACAGACUAGUCCUGCUU